Molecule: long non-coding RNA, 475 nt
Filed under: Pan troglodytes (chimpanzee)
Lineage: Eukaryota; Metazoa; Chordata; Mammalia; Primates; Hominidae
Description: long non-coding RNA NONPTRT003222
Source: RNAcentral
CCGUCAGUCAACUUAUUAGCAUACAAAAAAAUCACCUUAGAGAUUAGGAGGAUUUAGGAGAUGUAUACCAGGAAAUGGGGAUGAAGACCAAAUAUAUAUUUCACAAUAUCACAGGGAGAAAAACUUGAAUUUUACUUCAUCAGUUAUCCAUGCCUUCCAGUUUGGAACAGCACAGUGAUAAGAUGGAGAUAGAAAUGAGGAAGGAGAGAGAUAAACAGGCAACAAGAGACUUAAGUGACCUACUAUCCUGAUGCGUCUGCAACACCUGAAAAACAGUCGGGAUGGACCUGUGAGAAAUCAAGACAGAAAAUGUAAAAGGAUUCAGAGGACUCUGCCUCUCAGUCCUACUUGGGGUUUUUGUGCGUCUGUAUCUAACAUGCACGCACUUCUCUAAGUGUGUUGACCCAUCCAGAGGAUGUGUUGUCCGAGUCUGUCCAUGCAGGGAGCAAGAGAAGACGGGGUGACUAAGCUGGAU